RNAcentral lists this ribosomal RNA (484 nucleotides) under uncultured bacterium. Its description in RNAcentral is "partial 16S ribosomal RNA". It matches the Rfam family "Bacterial small subunit ribosomal RNA", at positions 30 to 507 of the family's 1533-position model. The record is from RNAcentral.
AUUGAACGCUGGCGGCAGGCCUAACACAUGCAAGUCGAGCGGAUGAAGGGAGCUUGCUCCUGGAUUCAGCGGCGGACGGGUGAGUAAUGCCUAGGAAUCUGCCUGGUAGUGGGGGAUAACGUCCGGAAACGGGCGCUAAUACCGCAUACGUCCUGAGGGAGAAAGUGGGGGAUCUUCGGACCUCACGCUAUCAGAUGAGCCUAGGUCGGAUUAGCUAGUUGGUAGGGUAAAGGCCUACCAAGGCGACGAUCCGUAACUGGUCUGAGAGGAUGAUCAGUCACACUGGAACUGAGACACGGUCCAGACUCCUACGGGAGGCAGCAGUGGGGAAUAUUGGGCAAUGGGCGAAAGCCUGACGCAGCCAUGCCGCGUGAGUGAAGAAGGUCUUCGGAUUGUAAAGCACUUUAAGUUGGGAGGAAGGGCAGUGAGUGAAUACCUUGCUGUUUUGACGUUACCAACAGAAUAAGCAACGGCUAACUUCGUG